ACCGCGGGUGGGACAUGGGGUGGGGGGGGGAUUAUGGGGAGGGUCUGGUGGCACUGGGGGCACACCGGGGAGGGCGGAUUCGUACCGGAGGCUCUGGGGAGGGGUCGCUCUGCGGAGGGGGCUCACAGGGGGGGUACCGGGGUUCGCCUGCCCCCUCCCCGACCCCUCCCCUGUUUUCCCCCCGCCAUGCCCAGGCCCGGCGGCGCUGAAGAAGUCGGGCAAGCUGGAUUUCUGCAGCGCGCUGUCGGGACACGGCGCCGCGCCCCGCAUGGCCUUCGGCCACCACCCCCUGCCCGUGCUGGCCGGCGUCCGCCCCGGCAGCCCGCGGGCCUCGGCCUCGGCGCUGCACUUCCCGUCGGGGUCCCUCCUGCCCCAGUCGAGCCCCUACUUCGCCCACCCCACCAUCCGCUACCACCACGGGCAGGACUCGCUCAAGGACUUCGUGCAGUUCGUCUGCGCCGACGGCGCCGCCCAGGGCCCCCAGGUGCGGCGGGGACGGGCCCGGGGGGCGCGGGGACCGCCCGGGGGCGCGGGGACAAACGGGGACACCGGGGGACACCGGGGGACACCGGGAACCCCACCCCCGGAGGGGCAGGGCUGCGCCCCUGGAUGCAAAUGAGGCUGAGGAGGCGGGGCGUGUAUGCAGAUGAGGCGCGAGUAGGUGCGCGAGAUGCAAAUAAGGCGAGAGGGGCGGGGUCUGUAUGCAAAUACACCAUAGGGGCGGUGCCUGUAUGCAAAUACACCACAGGGGCGGUGCUGGCAUGGAAAUACACCACAAAGGGCGGAGCCUGUAUGCAAAUACACAUCAAGGGGGCGGUGCUUGUAUGCAAAUACACCACAGGGGGCGGGGUCUGUAUGCAAACGAGCCCAGGUGGCCGCACCGGCUGCGGAGGGGGUGACGGGGACCCCCAAACUCCGCCCUGGGGACCCCAAACUCGAGGACCCCCCCCCUCACCUGGAGCCGCCCUCACCUGGGGUAUCCCCCACCUGUGUGUCCCCACCUGGGCGCGCCCCAGGGGCUGCAGGGCCCCUCCGCGACCCCCGCCCGCCCCCCUGUGCCUGCCCCUCCCUCCGUCCGUCCCUCCCGCCGGUGCCGCUGCCCAGCCCGGGGGUCCCGGUGGUCCCUGCGGUUCCGGUGGUCCCGGCGGUCCCUCCCGGUGGUCCCGGGGGUCCCGGGGUCCGUCACCGUGUUCUCGUUGCAGCCGUGCGGGGCGCAGGGCCGGGCCGGGGGGGCUGCGGGGGCCCCCCUGCCCCGACCCCUGCCCCUGCCCCCGCCGGAGCCCAAAGCCCCCAGCGGCCCCCCCGGCGGAGCCCCCCCCGCACCCCGUAAGUGCCCCCGGCACCACCGGGACCCCCCCCGGGACCACCGGGACCCCCCCGGCACCACCCCCGCACCCCACGGCUCCCCCCGCGCCCGCAGCCGGGCCCCGGCCGUGGGGGGCGGGGGGCAGGGGGGGCAGGUGGGGCGCAGGUGAGGGGGCCCAGGUGGGGGCGCAGCUUGGGGGGGCAGCAGCGAGGUCCAGGGGCCCAGGUGUGAGUGCAGGUGUGAAGUACAGGGGCCCAGGUGUAAGGUGCAGGUGCCCAGGUGUGGGUGCACAUGCCCAGGUGUGGGUCCAGGUGCCCAGAUGUAGGAUGCAGGUGCCCAGGUGCGAGUGCAGCAGCAAGGUGCAGGUGCCCAGGUGUGGGUACAGCUGUGGGGUGCAGGGCACUGCAGGUGCCACUUCAGGAGCUCCGGGCUGGUGCCAGCAGGUGACAGGUGAUACAGUGACCCAGGUGUUAGGGUGCACAGGGUGGCACAGUGACCCAAGUUACAGGGUGACCCGGGUGGCACAGUGACCUGGCUGGCAGGAGCAGGUGCAGGUGCCAGGUCAUACAGUGACCUAGGUGGCAGCAGGUGGCAGUGACCCAGGUUAUAGUGACUCAAGUGCCAGCAGGUGCCAGGUAACAGAUGCCAGC
Molecule: long non-coding RNA, 1956 nt
Filed under: Junco hyemalis (dark-eyed junco)
Lineage: Eukaryota; Metazoa; Chordata; Aves; Passeriformes; Passerellidae
Description: lncRNA (ENSJHYG00000002115.1)
Source: RNAcentral